UACGGGGGGAGCAAGCGUUGUUCGGAUUUACUGGGCGUAAAGGGCGCGUAGGCGGCGUGACAAGUCACUUGUGAAAUCUCCGGGCUUAACUCGGAGCGGUCAAGUGAUACUGUCGUGCUAGAGUGCGGAAGGGGCUACUGGAAUUCCCGGUGUAGUGGUGAAAUGCGUAGAUAUCGAGAGGAACACCUGCGGCGAAGGCGGGUUGCUGGGCUGAUACUGACGCUGAGGCGCGAAAGCCAGGGGAGCGAACGGG
RNAcentral lists this ribosomal RNA (253 nucleotides) under uncultured bacterium. Its description in RNAcentral is "partial 16S ribosomal RNA". It matches the Rfam family "Bacterial small subunit ribosomal RNA", at positions 524 to 776 of the family's 1533-position model. The record is from RNAcentral.